AUGGAAGUGGCUUGGGUCAAUAGUCCCAGCAGAGCUGAGCCUUCAAGUCUUCCUAGCCCAGGCACCAGAGAUGGGAGAGAGGAACUCUCCAGGUCAUCUCUCUGCCAUCGGGAGGCAGCAUCGAGCAACCCCGUGCUGGGGCAUCAGGCAAGACCAGAGCUCAAAUCCAGGCUGCCCACUUCUCACGUGUAAAUGUGGAUAGCAGCAGUUUGUCUUACACAAGGCUGAAGUGAGGGUAAAAGAGACUGUGUGUGUAAAGUUCCUAGCUCAAUGCCUGGCACAGGUUAGAGCAGGUCUUUCUCUCCUCUGCCUGGGCUGGGGUGAGUGGUCUGGGGGGACCCUCUUUGUGUCACCCAGUGGAGCACUGUGCACAGUAUGGCCGCCAGCCCCUGCAGUGGGGAGAGCACGGGGUGGGGAGGUCCUCCCACACUCUCCCUCUGACCC
RNAcentral lists this long non-coding RNA (444 nucleotides) under Homo sapiens (human). RNAcentral's name for it is "non-protein coding lnc-KIAA1755-8:1". The record is from RNAcentral. Lineage: Eukaryota; Metazoa; Chordata; Mammalia; Primates; Hominidae.